AACCUUACUCGUACCAAGAACAAAUUCUCAAACUCUUGACUUGUGUGCUGUGAAGAAUAAAUAUCUAAGGGGAUAGCAUCAUUGUUUUAUAGUAAAUCGAUCAAUCUUAGGCUAAAAGAGCAAUUAGCUUAAUUACACCUCUGAAAAUGGAAUAAUUUUGUAUAAAAGUGCGAAGCUAUUGAAAAUCUAUCACGCUUGAAAUAUCCGGAACAUGUGUUAGUGUUCAUAUCUUAUCAGUUGUAAUAUUUCACUUUGGUUAUAGAAAAAGCGGUCAUUAUUCAGUAUGAGAGAAUCAUACAACCUUCAAAGCGAAGAGCCCGGCGAAAGAAACUCCGACAAAGGCGAAAAGGUCGACUGGUGGUGGGGAAUCCUCCUUGUGUUAAUCAUUGCCGUUCUAAUAGCUCUAGUCAUCGUUGGUUUCUUCGAUUUGACCGGGACAUCAAAUUUCGAUUCAGACACCGAAUAUUUCAGAAGAUUACGAGGAGGAAGCCCCAAAUUGCCUAAUCCCAUUCCUCCUUUCAAAGUGGAAAGCGUACGGGAAGUUAUUGAAACCAUUUCCAAAGGAAAUGGACUAUACAACAUUGAAUACGAUAUUCAAAAUCGAUCGGUUCUGCUCUGGGAUUCGAACUUAUCUGAUAAUUGUAAUGGCAUUCAACAUAUGGCUAUAAGGGUAAGCGCGAAGAAUGUAACGAGCAAUCGUACUAUCCUUGUAAGUGGCUCUUUCGAUGAAAGUGAAGAUGGGGCAAAAGAAAACGGUGUCGCCCAUGCUAUAAUACAGUCUCUGAUUGCCAUAACCAGAGAAUCAAUAGCAUUACGCCAUCCUGUGGUGCUUUUAUUAAAUAGAAACUUAGCCAACUACACUCAGAGCGUAGAAGGAUUCAUGGGUCAAAAACACUGGGCCAGGAAUAUAUCAGUAUUUAUUAAUAUCAAUUCUAUCCCAGGCGGGAGGGGGAAUGUUAUCCACACUAGAGCAGAUGCUACGUGGCUGUUAAAAGUAUAUUAUGGAUCAUUCCGCCACUCGCAUUUAUGCUUGAUUUGCGAUGAAAUCUCAAAGUCAAAUUUCAUGCAAAUCGAGUCGAAUUCUAGACAUUAUAGUAUACCUAGAAACCUUAAAGUUUGGUAUUUUGUAGGUUUGGACCUAACGUACGCUUACGGUGACAAUUCAAUAGCUCUAUCAAGAGAAAGUGAAGUACAAAACUAUAUGGAUGAUAAUAUUUUAUCACUCAUUCGGAAUGUUGAUAGUGCGACCGAAAUGGACGAAAACUAUGAUUCACGAAAUGUUGUGGAGUCAAUAUUUUUCGAUUUCUUUGGUGUUUUCAUGGUAAUAUACAGCGAAACGGAUGGAAUUAUAAUAAACGUGGUCGUCAGCUUUGCUGCCCUCGCCACAAUGGUCACCUCCAUGUGGUUAAUGCAACAAUGGGCCGUUGUUGCUGCUUCUGUAAUUUGGUUUCAGCUUGUAAAGUCAUUCGCCAUUCAACUUACAUCACUCAUAGUCGGGGGUGGAUUUGCGAUUUUCAUGGCUUAUCUGUAUGACUCCUACAAAACCUUAUUGACUUGGGCACCGAAGCAUUGGAUGGUGUUUGCGAUCUACUUUUGCCCUUUCCUCUUCAUAAUGUGUAUUUUCCCUUCGUUGUACUUGAACUGGAAGAAAUACAGAGCCAUACCACUUCGAUUUGGGGUAAUGCUCUUCCUUCACGUCAAUUGCAUCCUGUUCAUCAUAGCCAUUUUGACCCUAACAGGAUUAUCAGUGAAGACAGCAUUUGUGAUUGUUUCGGGCAUUGCAUUUUACACAGUUUCAUUAAUGGUUGUUCUGGCAUUUAAACUUUAUAAAAAAGUAUCAUUACAGUAUAUUUAUGGAUAUUCCCCAUUUUCGUUGGGCAAAUUCUCCCGAUCGCUUUUGUUACGUACCUGAUGCUAAUAUUUUACUCGGUUUACAUCCCUGUUUCAAGCAUUCCAGGGGCAGCAAGAAGGGUUCAAUUUCUUCUUGCGCUCUCAGCUAUAGGAUUUUCAAUGCUAAUGUUCGGAUUCUUGAUACCAAUACUGGCAAUUUUCCGCAAAUCGAAAACAAUGCUGACAGGUUUUGUAAUCAUUACGCUUAUAUUCUUGAUCCUGAUAUUUACCAAUGUGUUUGCGGCAUAAUAAUCCGAAUCUCUUAUAAGCAGGGAGAAUUUUC
This 2173-nucleotide unclassified non-coding RNA is filed under the name Hermetia illucens (black soldier fly). RNAcentral's name for it is "endoplasmic reticulum metallopeptidase 1-like, transcript variant X1". Lineage: Eukaryota; Metazoa; Arthropoda; Insecta; Diptera; Stratiomyidae. The record is from RNAcentral.